AACGAACGCUGGCGGCAGGCUUAACACAUGCAAGUCGAGCGCCCCGCCAGGGGAGCGGCAGACGGGUGAGUAACGCGUGGGAACGUACCUUGUGGUUCGGAACAACUCCGGGAAACUGGAGCUAAUACCGGAUAAGCCCUAACGGGGAAAGAUUUAUCGCCGAAAGAUCGGCCCGCGUCUGAUUAGCUAGUUGGUGAGGUAACGGCUCACCAAGGGGACGAUCAGUAGCUGGGCUGAGAGGAUGAUCAGCCACACUGGGAGUGGGACACGGCCCAGACUCCUGCGGGAGGGAGGAGUGGGGAAUAUUGGAAAAUGGGCGCAAGCAUGAUGCAGCCAUGCCGCGUGAGUGAUGAAGGCCUUAGGGUUGUAAAGCUCUUUUGUCCGGGACGAUAAUGACUGUACCGGAAGAAUAAGCCCCGGCUAACUUCGUG
RNAcentral lists this ribosomal RNA (431 nucleotides) under uncultured bacterium. Its description in RNAcentral is "partial 16S ribosomal RNA". It matches the Rfam family "Bacterial small subunit ribosomal RNA", at positions 29 to 507 of the family's 1533-position model. The record is from RNAcentral.